GGGCGUAUGGUCUAGAGGUAUGAUACCUGCUUUGGGUCUAUUGUUAUAUCCUUUGCAGGGGGUCUUCGGUUCGAAUCCGGAUUCGCCCC
Molecule: non-coding RNA, 89 nt
Organism: Lentinula edodes (shiitake mushroom)
Lineage: Eukaryota; Fungi; Basidiomycota; Agaricomycetes; Agaricales; Omphalotaceae
Source: the annotation of a RefSeq genome assembly